CUCUGCCAACACCUUGAUCUCAGAUUUCUAGCCUCCAAAGGUUAUACCAUGCAGUUUCUCAAAACUAUUUCAAGGACAUGUUGGAAGGAACUGGAGGUUGCAGUUGACUCUGUUGUAGCCUUGCCAGCAUACGUUUUCUGGACUGAAAGCACCUGUCUCUCACUUUCUGUGAGUGUUAGUGGGAACAGUUGCAGUUAUAUUCUUUUUAGAAUUGACCUAAAUAAAAGGGAGACAUUU
RNAcentral lists this long non-coding RNA (237 nucleotides) under Homo sapiens (human). RNAcentral's name for it is "HSALNT0343026". The record is from RNAcentral. Lineage: Eukaryota; Metazoa; Chordata; Mammalia; Primates; Hominidae.